AUGCUGUUCCUUCUCCUCUUCCAUCUUUGCUUCCUUACCUUUUUUUAAUCUAAAAAAUAACAAAAUCAAAUUGCCAUAACCACCGCCAGCAACAAGCAAGCAUCAACAUCUGUUACCAAAUGGUCACAAAUCCUCAAGGUUUAAUUCGCUGCCCUCCAUGGAUACCACCUUGGAAUAACAACUGCAUCAACUUCUUCUUCGUGAAUUUCAGUCUCACUAUAGCAACAGCACCUUCUAUUUCUUAUGAUCAAUUGUUGCAGGGUGUUAUUGAUUAGUCCUUUUGUUAGUUUUUAUCCUCUUUUUUUACAUCAUCAAUACACUUAAUUCAAACCCAUAAUUUAUAUGGCUUACGAAAGAGGCUAAUCUGCUUAGUUUUAGUUAGGGUAGCGUGUGAAGAAUAUUCAUGAUAUUAGAUUGGAUUUAUGUUCAUUCGCUCUGCUCGUGGAGCGGCAUUACCGAAAAAAAGAAAUAUCGAUAGCUCAAUUACAUUUCUAAAAUAGAACAAGUAUGUGCUCAGAG
This 519-nucleotide long non-coding RNA is filed under the name Ricinus communis (castor bean). RNAcentral's name for it is "long non-coding RNA (RCOM_LNC003125)". Lineage: Eukaryota; Viridiplantae; Streptophyta; Magnoliopsida; Malpighiales; Euphorbiaceae. The record is from RNAcentral.